This 72-nucleotide transfer RNA is filed under the name Verrucomicrobia bacterium IMCC26134. It matches the Rfam family "tRNA". Rfam says of the family: Transfer RNA (tRNA) molecules are approximately 80 nucleotides in length. Their secondary structure includes four short double-helical elements and three loops (D, anti-codon, and T loops). Further hydrogen bonds mediate the characteristic L-shaped molecular structure. tRNAs have two regions of fundamental functional importance: the anti-codon, which is responsible for specific mRNA codon recognition, and the 3' end, to which the tRNAs corresponding amino acid is attached (by aminoacyl-tRNA synthetases). tRNAs cope with the degeneracy of the genetic code in two manners: having more than one tRNA (with a specific anti-codon) for a particular amino acid; and 'wobble' base-pairing, i.e. permitting non-standard base-pairing at the 3rd anti-codon position. The record is from Rfam by way of RNAcentral. Lineage: Bacteria; Pseudomonadati; Verrucomicrobiota.
GCGAGCGUAGCACAAUGGAUAGUGUAGAAGCCUCCGAAGCUUUUGAUCUGAGUUCGAUUCUCAGCGCUCGCA